This 549-nucleotide ribosomal RNA is filed under the name uncultured Roseateles sp. RNAcentral describes it as "bacterial SSU rRNA". It matches the Rfam family "Bacterial small subunit ribosomal RNA", at positions 355 to 897 of the family's 1533-position model. The record is from RNAcentral. Lineage: Bacteria; Pseudomonadati; Pseudomonadota; Betaproteobacteria; Burkholderiales; Sphaerotilaceae.
UGGGGAAUUUUGGACAAUGGGCGCAAGCCUGAUCCAGCCAUGCCGCGUGCGGGAAGAAGGCCUUCGGGUUGUAAACCGCUUUUGUCAGGGAAGAAAAGGUUCUGGCUAAUACCUGGGACUCAUGACGGCACCUGAAGAAUAAGCACCGGCUAACUACGUGCCAGCAGCCGCGGUAAUACGUAGGGUGCAAGCGUUAAUCGGAAUUACUGGGCGUAAAGCGUGCGCAGGCGGUUAUGCAAGACAGAGGUGAAAUCCCCGGGCUCAACCUGGGAACUGCCUUUGUGACUGCAUGGCUAGAGUACGGUAGAGGGGGAUGGAAUUCCGCGUGUAGCAGUGAAAUGCGUAGAUAUGCGGAGGAACACCGAUGGCGAAGGCAAUCCCCUGGACCUGUACUGACGCUCAUGCACGAAAGCGUGGGGAGCAAACAGGAUUAGAUACCCUGGUAGUCCACGCCCUAAACGAUGUCAACUGGUUGUUGGGAGGGUUUCUUCUCAGUAACGUAGCUAACGCGUGAAGUUGACCGCCUGGGGAGUACGGCCGCAAGGUUGA